RNAcentral lists this ribosomal RNA (325 nucleotides) under uncultured eukaryote. RNAcentral's name for it is "partial 18S ribosomal RNA". It matches the Rfam family "Eukaryotic small subunit ribosomal RNA", at positions 1470 to 1796 of the family's 1831-position model. The record is from RNAcentral.
CCCUUAGAUGCUCUGGGCCGCACGCGCGCUACACUGAUGCAUUCAACGAGCCUAUCCUUGACCGACAGGUCCGGGUAAUCUUUGAAUCUGCAUCGUGACGGGGAUAGAUUAUUGCAAUUAUUAAUCUUCAACGAGGAAUGCCUAGUAGGCGCAAGUCAUCAGCUUGCGUCGAUUACGUCCCUGCCCUUUGUACACACCGCCCGUCGCUCCUACCGAUUGGGUGUGCUGGUGAAAUGUUCGGAUCGGCCGUUUGUCGCGGUUUCCGCGUCAUGUGGCUGAGAAGUUCAUUAAACCCUCCCACCGAGAGGAAGGAGAAGUCGUAACA